Non-coding RNA from Vicia faba (fava bean), 234 nucleotides. Lineage: Eukaryota; Viridiplantae; Streptophyta; Magnoliopsida; Fabales; Fabaceae. The record is from the annotation of a GenBank genome assembly.
AUGCAGACUUUGAUGGGGAUCAAAUGGCUGUUCAUUCAUGUGCCUUUAUCUUUGGAGGCUCAAGCAGAAGCUCGUUUACUUAUGUUUUCUCAUACGAAUCUCUUGUCUCUGGCUAUUGGGGAUCCCAUUUGUGUACCAACUCAAGAUAUGCUUAUUGGACUUUACGUAUUAACUAGCGGAAAUCGUCGAGAAGCUAUACAAGGUUUUUCUCGAGCCGAUUCAUAUGGUAUCUAA